AAUAAGCGCAUUGGAUGCGCAGACGCUGUGGAAGCCGUGAUAAAAGGCCUCAAACUGCUUGUAGAUAGAGGAGUUCAGGAGGUAAUCCACGUACAGCUGCACGUACUCUGCGCAUAACCCAAGACAAGACGAGAACAUCAUUAGGUGUAUUAUACAACUAAAGUACUGCUAUGCGCACCCAUAUUGGUUUAAACCCAGUAAGACCCCCUCAGAACGCAACACUUCUAAAAACAAUGUAUUUUAAAUAUCCUACUAUCCUCGUUUGUUUGGCUCAUGAGGGAACUUGUGAAUUCUUGAUUUUGUUUUCAUCUAUAGAAAAAAUUAUCGGGUCCAUAAGUUCCUGGCCCAAGCACUCUGCCAAUAAGAGCUUUACACAAUAUGCGUUUAUAAGGUACCCUACUAGGUUGCCAAAAAUACAGCGACUGGAUAAUAACGAGGUCAAAGAGAUGAGAACAUAGUCAGAUAAGGGGACAAGGUUGUCCUGGAGUCGUGAGUAUCCAUUACCUUGUCUAUUGGUGUUAGUGACGGUAAUGGUGUCUCCCUUGGGCGUGGCCAUUUCAUACCUUGUCUAUUGGUGUUAGUGACGGGAAUGGUGUAUCCCUUGGGCGUGGCCAUUACGUACCUUGUCUAUUGGUGUUAGUGACGAGAAUGGUGUCUCCCUUGGGCAUGGCCAUUUCAUACCUUGUCUAUUGGUGUUAGUGACGGGAAUGGUGUCUCCCUUGGGCGUGGCCAUUUCAUACCUUGUCUAUUGGUGUUAGUGACGGGAAUGGUGUCUACCUUGGGCUUGGCCAUUUCAUACCUUGUCUAUUGGUGUUAGUGACGGGAAUGGUGUCUACCUUGGGCGUGGCCAUUUCAUACCUUGUCUAUUGGUGUUAGUGACGGCAAUGGUGUCUUCCUUGGGCUUGGUCAUUUCAUACCUUGUCUAUUGGUGUUAGUGACGGGAAUGGUGUAUCCCUUGGGCGUGGCCAUUUCAUACCUUGUCUAUUGGUGUUAGUGACGGGAAUGGUGUCUCCCUUGGGCGUGGCCAUUUCAUACCUUGUCUAUUGGUGUUAGUGACGGGAAUGGUGUAUCCCUUGGGCGUGGCCAUUACGUACCUUGUCUAUUGGUGUUAGUGACGAGAAUGGUGUCUCCCUUGGGCAUGGCCAUUUCAUACCUUGUUUAUUGGUGUUAGUGACGGGAAUGGUGUCUCCCUUGGGCGUGGCCAUUUCAUACCUUGUCUAUUGGUGUUAGUGACGGGAAUGGUGUAUCCCUUGGGCGUGGCCAUUACGUACCUUGUCUAUUGGUGUUAGUGACGAGAAUGGUGUCUCCCUUGGGCAUGGCCAUUUCAUACCUUGUCUAUUGGUGUUAGUGACGGGAAUGGUGUCUCCCUUGGGCGUGGCCAUUUCAUACCUUGUCUAUUGGUGUUAGUGACGGGAAUGGUGUCUCCCUUGGGCGUGGCCAUUUCAUACCUUGUCUAUUGGUGUUAGUGACGGGAAUGGUGUAUCCCUUGGGCGUGGCCAUUACGUACCUUGUCUAUUGGUGUUAGUGACGAGAAUGGUGUCUCCCUUGGGCAUGGCCAUUUCAUACCUUGUCUAUUGGUGUUAGUGACGGGAAUGAUGUCUCCCUUGGGCUUGGCCAUUUCAUACCUUGUCUAUUGGUGUUAGUGACGGGAAUGGUGUCUCCCUUGGGCGUGGUCAUUUCAUACCUUGUCUAUUGGUGUUAGUGACGGGAAUGGUGUCUACCUUGGGCGUGGCCAUUUCAUACCUUGUCUAUUGGUGUUAGUGACGGCAAUGGUGUCUUCCUUGGGCUUGGCCAUUUCAUACCUUGGCUAUUGGUGUUAGUGACGGGAAUGGUGUCUACCUUGGGCGUGGCCAUUUCAUACCUUGUCUAUUGGUGUUAGUGACGGGAAUGGUGUCUCCCUUGGGCGUGGCCAUUUCAUACCUUGGCUAUUGGUGUUAGUGACGGGAAUGGUGUCUACCUUGGGCGUGGCCAUUUCAUACCUUGUCUAUUGGUGUUAGUGACGGCAAUGGUGUCUUCCUUGGGCUUGGCCAUUUCAUACCUUGUCUAUUGGUGUUAGUGACGGGAAUGGUGUAUCCCUUGGGCGUGGCCAUUUCAUACCUUGUCUAUUGGUGUUAGUGACGGGAAUGGUGUCUCCCUUGGGCGUGGCCAUUACGUACCUUGUCUAUUGGUGUUAGUGACGGCAAUGGUGUCUCCCUUGGGCGUGGCCAUUUCAUACCUUGUCUAUUGGUGUUUGUGACGGGAAUGGUGUCUCCCUUGGGCUUGGUCAUUUCAUACCUUGUCUAUUGGUGUUAGUGACGGGAAUGGUGUCUCCCUUGGGCUUGGCCAUUUCAUACCUUGUCUAUUGGUGUUUGUGAUGAGAAUGGUGUAUCCCUUGGGCUUGGCCAUUUCAUACCUUGUCUAUUGGUGUUAGUGACGGGAAUGGUGUCUCUCUUGGGCGUGGCCAUUUCAUACCUUGUCUAUUGGUGUUAGUGACGGGAAUGGUGUCUCCCUUGGGCUUGGCCAUUACGUACCUUGUCUAUUAGUGUUUGUGACUGGAAUGGUGUCUCCCUUGGGGUUGGCCAUUACGUACCUUGUCUACUGGUGUUAGUGACGGGAAUGGUGUCUCCCUUGGGCUUGGCCAUUUCAUACCUUGUCUAUUGGUGUUAGUGACGGGAAUGGUGUCUCCCUUGGGCAUGGCCAUUUCAUACCUUGUCUAUUGGUGUUAGUGACGGGAAUGGUGUCUCCCUUGGGCGUGGCCAUUUCAUACCUUGUCUAUUGGUGUUAGUGACGGGAAUGGUGUAUCCCUUGGGCGUGGCCAUUACGUACCUUGUCUAUUGGUGUUAGUGACGAGAAUGGUGUCUCCCUUGGGCAUGGCCAUUUCAUACCUUGUCUAUUGGUGUUAGUGACGGGAAUGGUGUCUCCCUUGGGCGUGGCCAUUUCAUACCUUGUCUAUUGGUGUUAGUGACGGGAAUGGUGUCUCCCUUGGGCGUGGCCAUUUCAUACCUUGUCUAUUGGUGUUAGUGACGGGAAUGGUGUAUCCCUUGGGCGUGGCCAUUACGUACCUUGUCUAUUGGUGUUAGUGACGAGAAUGGUGUCUCCCUUGGGCGUGGCCAUUUCAUACCUUGUCUAUUGGUGUUAGUGACGGGAAUGGUGUCUCCCUUGGGCGUGGCCAUUUCAUACCUUGUCUAUUGGUGUUAGUGACGGGAAUGGUGUCUCCCUUGGGCGUGGCCAUUUCAUACCUUGUCUAUUGGUGUUAGUGACGGGAAUGGUGUCUACCUUGGGCGUGGCCAUUUCAUACCUUGUCUAUUGGUGUUAGUGACGGCAAUGGUGUCUUCCUUGGGCUUGGCCAUUUCAUACCUUGGCUAUUGGUGUUAGUGACGGGAAUGGUGUCUACCUUGGGCGUGGCCAUUUCAUACCUUGUCUAUUGGUGUUAGUGACGGGAAUGGUGUCUACCUUGGGCGUGGCCAUUUCAUACCUUGUCUAUUGGUGUUAGUGACGGCAAUGGUGUCUUCCUUGGGCUUGGCCAUUUCAUACCUUGUCUAUUGGUGUUAGUGACGGGAAUGGUGUAUCCCUUGGGCGUGGCCAUUUCAUACCUUGUCUAUUGGUGUUAGUGACGGGAAUGGUGUCUCCCUUGGGCGUGGCCAUUACGUACCUUGUCUAUUGGUGUUAGUGACGGCAAUGGUGUCUCCCUUGGGCGUGGCCAUUACGUACCUUGUCUAUUGGUGUUAGUGACGGCAAUGGUGUCUCCCUUGGGCGUGGCCAUUUCAUACCUUGUCUAUUGGUGUUAGUGACGGGAAUGGUGUCUCCCUUGGGCUUGGUCAUUUCAUACCUUGUCUAUUGGUGUUAGUGACGGGAAUGGUGUCUCCCUUGGGCUUGGCCAUUUCAUACCUUGUCUAUUGGUGUUUGUGAUGAGAAUGGUGUAUCCCUUGGGCUUGGCCAUUUCAUACCUUGUCUAUUGGUGUUAGUGACGGGAAUGGUGUCUCUCUUGGGCGUGGCCAUUUCAUACCUUGUCUAUUGCUGUUAGUGACGGGAAUGGUGUUUCCCUUGGGCUUGGCCAUUUCAUACCUUGUCUAUUGGUGUUAGUGACGGGAAUGGUGUCUCCCUUGGGCUUGGCCAUUACGUACCUUGUCUAUUAGUGUUUGUGACUGGAAUGGUGUCUCCCUUGGGGUUGGCCAUUACGUACCUUGUCUACUGGUGUUAGUGACGGGAAUGGUGUCUCCCUUGGGCUUGGCCAUUUCAUACCUUGUCUAUUGGUGUUAGUGACGGGAAUGGUGUCUCCCUUGGGCUUGGCCAUUUCAUACCUUGUCUAUUGGUGUUAGUGACGGGAAUGGUGUCUCCCUUGGGCUUGGCCCUUUCAUACCUUGUCUAUUGGUGUUAGUGACGGGAAUGGUGUCUCCCUUGGGCUUGAGAUUGUGCGUUACCACUUCUCCGUAGGACGUGAAGGACACUUGGAAUGUCUGACAUAAAUCAUUCUCUACAUCGCCUUCAUAGCUCAGCAGCUCUUUGAGGCCCCGUGCAAGCUCCUAAAGGGGGUUCACAGUUAUUUGUUAGCCUUAUAAUCCAGCAUCAUCAUGUCAUCAUGAUCAUCAUCACUAUGCUAUGUUGAUAAAUCGACCAUGAGAAUUUUUUUUCUUUUUUUAACGGCAGAAACCGAUCAGAUAGUGUUGGUAGGUGUGUGUAUAGGUGUUAUGUGCCAUUACUUUCGAAAUUUGGUGUUGCCCCCCCCUGACAAUGGCCGAAAAACCUCCAUGAUUAAUCAACAAGCCAUAACUCCCCCCUGAAACCGGGGGGAUCUCAAAUUUUGACAAAAAGUAGCUCUGGCCUUACAAAACUAUGGUGCCAAGUUUCAUUGAAUUUGAACACUCUCAUAUGAGAAUAUUGAUGAUGUUGUAUAAGACCCUAUAGGAAGUGUAUACCUCAGCUAGACUUGGCUUUUUUGUAAAAAAGCAAAUUUUCGAAAAAAGAACACUUGAUUUAUGGUUGAAGAUGUAAAGCUAUAGCAACCAAGUUUGGAGGGUGGUUAUAACUUGCAAAGAUCUCUAUGUGCUGUGAAGCACAAUUGUUGCGGUGCGCAUGCGAUAGCAUUUCGCUAUUCAAGUCGAAUUAUCAACACACACAAAAUGUUAUUUUUUACAAGAAAAACUUGUUAUUUAUGGACGAUUUUAUCCUUAAGAAUAAAGAAUGAACCACCCUACCAGAUACCGUUCAAAUUAGAUCAUUAUCGUCUUUAGUUUUUCAGAUGAUUUUCGUGGAUCACAUGCUAAUGUUGAUAAAUCGACUUGACGCUUCAACCAAUAAACUUAGUUAAGUUACAAGGUGUGUAUCAGUGCUAGGUCUUUAAAGGUUAUUCCCCAACCUGACAGCUAACCUCAAUUUAAAACAUUUUGGGUUUCAACGACUUUCAACGACAUUAUUAGCUGAAAAUUGUGACUUUGUAACUAUUUAAUAUCCGUUUUACAAAACCAUCAAUACGUGACCGAAUUCUUUGACAACUAUAACUGCAGUAAAAAGAUAUGUGUCUAGUGACGGCCUGUUAAGAGCCUGAAGGUCUUGGGACAGGACGGUACAUUACACAUCCAUACAUGCAUAAAUACAUAGAAUCGUGUCAUUUAAAAGUGCCUUAGUACUCUUUCUGUUGAUUUUAAAAUUAUCACUAUCUUGUUAUCACGGGCGAGGCCGGAGGUGUUUGUCCCGCGCUACCCACUUUUUACAAUUCAUGAACACCGUGUUCCUUUCUGUUUCUUGUUUGUUUGUUUGUUUAUUAUUAUUUUACACAGAACAAGAGUAACAGAAAUAUUAGUAAUAAGGAAUUAACAUAUAUAACAAA
Molecule: long non-coding RNA, 5806 nt
Organism: Nematostella vectensis (starlet sea anemone)
Lineage: Eukaryota; Metazoa; Cnidaria; Anthozoa; Actiniaria; Edwardsiidae
Exons: 2
Source: RefSeq, a predicted model, not a curated record